RNAcentral lists this ribosomal RNA (460 nucleotides) under uncultured bacterium. Its description in RNAcentral is "partial 16S ribosomal RNA". It matches the Rfam family "Bacterial small subunit ribosomal RNA", at positions 338 to 795 of the family's 1533-position model. The record is from RNAcentral.
CCUACGGGUGGCAGCAGUGAGGAAUAUUGGUCAAUGGGCGUAAGCCUGAACCAGCCAAGUCGCGUGAAGGAUGAAGGUUCUAUGGAUUGUAAACCUCUUUUAUAAGGGAAUAAAGUGCGGUACGUGUACCGUUUUGUAUGUACCUUAUGAAUAAGGAUCGGCUAACUCCGUGCCAGCAGCCGCGGUAAUACGGAGGAUCCGAGCGUUAUCCGGAUUUAUUGGGUUUAAUGGGUGCGUAGGCGGCCUGUUAAGUCAGCGGUGAAAGUUUGGGGCUCAACCUGAGAAUUGCCGCUGAGACUGGGAGGCUUGAGUAUGUUUGAGGCAGGCGGAAUGCGUGGUGUAGCGGUGAAAUGCUUAGAUAUCACACAGAACCCCGAUUGCGAAGGCAGCCUGCCAAGCCAUGACUGACGUUGAUGCACGAAAGCGUGGGUAUCAAACAGGAUUAGAUACCCCAGUAGUC